Camelina sativa (false flax) is the source of this 1485-nucleotide non-coding RNA. The record is from RefSeq and is a predicted model, not a curated record. Lineage: Eukaryota; Viridiplantae; Streptophyta; Magnoliopsida; Brassicales; Brassicaceae.
AUUUUUUUAGUUGAGUACACAAAAAAGCAUUUCAUUGGUGUCUUGAGUGAUAUGAGACCUUCUUUAUCGGUAGUCUAUUAGAGGGAUUUAUAAUAUUUUGAAGGAAAAAAAUAAUUUAGAAGAAAAGAAAAAUGUGGAAUUGGCAAUGGAAGAAAAUGGAAUCAAAGGAGAUGGAAUCAGAGGACAAUCGGGUCGGAGGAGAUGCGACGGAGAUUGAAUCGGCGGAGGCUAAUUGGAGGGUUUUGAAUCGAGUCCGAGAUUGUAUCGGAGGCAAAGCUCCUUCUCCUGCUUCUAUGGCUGUCCAAAAACUAUGCUCUGUCUUGGUAUAUCUUUCUUUCUUUCUUCUUCUGUCUCUGUUUGAUUUUCUCGGAUUGCGGAUAGGGUUUUUGCAGUUUCUGCUGGUUUUGAUUGAAUUACAUAUAUUGGUAGUCAUUUAGAAAGAUUUGGUUAAAACUGUUUUAGAUUGGUUUCAUUGGAUUUUGAAUAAACGUGGGAAUAUCUUCCUAGUUUCUCUUGAUUAGUCAUGUGAAGCCCUUGUAAUAGUUUGGGCAAUCAAGCCAAGUUUCUAUUGAUUCGGGUCAUUGCAAGAAUGGAAAAGAGAGUUCGCUUUAGCUAGCUUGAGAAUUAUGUUGUUCGAGGUUUAAGUUAAACUAGAAGCUCUAUCUGUGGUUCUAGUCACGAUUGUUCUGACUUCUCAGCUUUUGUUCCAAGAAUUUGAAGUAGCUGCCUACAGUUUAAUGAUUGUUGAAUUGAAUUUAUGAAAACACUUGCAGGUUAUUAAUUGUUGAAUUGAAUUUGUGGACUGCAACUAAUCCAGAAUUUGUUCUUGAAGAGUGAUCUUCUCAUUUAUUAAUCAAUUCUGUGUCAUUGUAUGAAUCUGUUUUGUGUCCUUGUAUGAAUCUGUUUUGUGUCUUUUGUGUCACGAAUCUGUUUUGUGUCUUUGUUUUCCUUGAUGUAUAGGAUUCUACUCUCAAGCUAUUCAUCUAGUUUCAGGAAAUGGUGGACAAGACGGGUUACGAAGUAUGUCUCAUGGUUUCAGUUUGUCCUCAUUUUUGUAAUCUCAUCUUCUCGUGAACACAUUUUUUCAUGAAAAAUGUCUCAACUUUUCUACAAGUUAGACUUGUUAGAGUCACCAAAAGAGGCGUAUUUUGCCCAGUUAUACCUUUCACAGGUGGGUAAUGCCUCAUAUAGUAUCAGCUACGACCUUUGGUCUUCAGAUGCAAUUAAUAUAGCUGUUAGAUGCAAGGAAUCUACUCUCAAGCUAUUCACCGCUAUGAAGAACACAUGCGUAUAAACGAGCUAUGAAGACUUCUCACCAUUGAUGCAAGGUAAUUAAGCGUCCGUCCGUACUGACUUUGUGAAAGCUUUGUGUUGAGUAAAUGGCAAAACAGAAUCAGUGAAGACUUUGAGUUUUUCUUAUUGUAAUAUGUACAGUAUUAUGUUUUGUAUGUUUACAAAUUAAUUAAAUGCAAUAUUUUUCCUAUU